Molecule: long non-coding RNA, 1199 nt
Organism: Polyodon spathula (Mississippi paddlefish)
Lineage: Eukaryota; Metazoa; Chordata; Actinopteri; Acipenseriformes; Polyodontidae
Exons: 3
Source: RefSeq, a predicted model, not a curated record
CAUGCGGACUAAUUUUAAAAGCCGUUACGUCUGGUGUGACUAUAAGAGUUUUUAGCUUUCAAACUAGUGAAAAAAAUAUGGAUUAUUGGCACAAUACUAGUAUAUUACUAGCGACCAAGACGAAAUACCGUCAGAUUGAAAACGCCAAAAAUGCCUUGCGACUGAAGCUCUCUUAAAUUCCCCUGCCAUCAUCAGUGAUUUGUCUGGUAACAGGGACAUCCAUCCCACUGAUACUAGUUACAUAUUCCCUAACAAAAAAGCAAAGCCUAAAAGCUGUACAAAACCGUGGUUGAGACGUUGCCAGAAAAAUGGGGCAUAUCAAGCCCUUGCACAGGAGAUGAGACUUGAAGACGAAUUCAACCUAUUACUGAACUUGGCCUCCUUUAAAAGAAGAUACCUUCUUCAGAGCUGCCUUACCGGCAGAAGAGAGACCACGACAGGUGACACCUACACAAGUUUAGGAUAUCUGUACAGAAUCUCAAAACAAGCCCUGUUAUUAUCCCCGGUGUGUGUGUGUUGCAAUAUACCAUGUGCUGAAGGACAACUACUUGCAGACACCGAACUCUAAAGAGAAAUGGAUGGAUGUCAAACAAUUUGAGGAUAGGAGGAAUUUUCCUCGAUGCAUCGGAGCAAUGGGUGGCAAGCACAUUGUUCUUCAGGCUCCCAUGAGAUCAGGGUCCACAUACGACAAAUACAAGCAUACCUAUAGCAUCGUGCUACUCGCUGUUGUAGAAUCAUGCUACAGAUUUCUGUACAUAGAUCAUCACAAAAGCAGCAUGGGCCCGACAUAAUUCAACCAAGAGAUGCAGUCUAUCCAGUUGUACAUGCCAAAACAAUCUGUGGAUACAGGACACUGAUUCAAUGACUGUCACCCCAGCACCUUGGGGAAAGGAGGAAAUCACAGGCAUGACCACUGCUACAGCAAGGAAGCAACAUGUCAACAAUCAACGCUUGUGAAAUUCUGGAUGAACUUAUGGAUUAUUUUACUUCUGAGGGGGCUGUUUCUUGGCAGUAGAGAAUGAUAUAAAAACCCUAGGCCAACAUGUAUUCAGGCACAGAUUCAUUAUUUUCGUAUCAAUUUCUUCUAAGCAGUUUCCCAACCCUGGUCCUGGGGAUCGCAGUAUGUGUCUCCUGGUUUUCGAUCCAACUCAGAUCUCAAUUAUUUAAUUGAACUACUAUAUAUAUAUAUAUAUAUAUAU